RNAcentral lists this transfer RNA (65 nucleotides) under Engaeus lyelli. RNAcentral describes it as "tRNA-Thr". It matches the Rfam family "tRNA". Rfam says of the family: Transfer RNA (tRNA) molecules are approximately 80 nucleotides in length. Lineage: Eukaryota; Metazoa; Arthropoda; Malacostraca; Decapoda; Parastacidae. The record is from RNAcentral.
AGUUUUAAUAAUUUAAGCAAAAUAUCGGUCUUGUAAAUCGAAAAUGAAUAACAACUUCUUAAAAC